This 548-nucleotide ribosomal RNA is filed under the name Brevicornu improvisum. RNAcentral's name for it is "partial 12S ribosomal RNA". Lineage: Eukaryota; Metazoa; Arthropoda; Insecta; Diptera; Mycetophilidae. The record is from RNAcentral.
AAUAAAUGCAAAUUAAAUUUUUUAUUUAAAGUUAAAAUGCAAAUAUGAAUUUAUAAUUAAAUUUAUUAGGUUAAAUUUUAAAUUUAAAAAAUUAUUAAAAAAGUGAUUAUUUUAAGCUUAGAAAUUUUUUUAAAUAAACUAGGAUUAGAUACCCUAUUAUAUAAAAUGUAAAUAAAUAAAAAUAGAGUAGUAUUAGUUAUAUUCUUAAAACUUAAUAAAUUUGGCGGUAUUUUAAUCUAUUCAGAGGAACUUGUUUUAUAAUUGAUAAUCCUCGUUAAAUCUUACUUAAUUUAAUUAAUUUGUAUACCAUCGUCAUAAGAAUCUCUUAUAAAAGGAAUAAUUUUCUUAAUAAUUUAUUAAUUAAAAUGUCAGAUCAAGGUGCAGUUUAUGGUUAAGAAAAAAUGAGUUACAAUAAAUUUAUUUAUAUGGAUUUUAAAUUUAAAUAUUUAAAUAAAAGUGGAUUUGAUAGUAAAAUAAACUAGAAAAUUUAUUUGAUUAUAGUUCUAAAAUAUGCACAUAUCGCCCGUCACUCUCGUUUUUAGAAUGAG